UGGCGGCGUGCCUACACAUGCAAGUCGAGCGGUGCAGUUUGAAGCUUCGAUGGAAAGCUGCAUAGCGGCGGACGGGUGAGGAAAACGUAGGAACGUGCCCCUUGGAGUUGGAUAGCCACGGGAAACUGUGGGUAAACCGACAUAGACUCGAGAGAGUAAAGGCCGAAAGGCGCCAAGGGAGCGGCCUGCGGCCCAUCAGGUAGUUGGUAGUGUAAAGGACUACCAAGCCGACGACGGGUAGCCGGUCUGAGAGGAUGGCCGGCCACAAGGGCACUGAGAGACGGGCCCUACUCCUACGGGAGGCAGCAGUGGGGGAUUUUGGACAAUGGGCGAAAGCCUGAUCCAGCGACGCCGCGUGGAGGACGAAGCCCUUCGGGGUGUAAACUCCUUUUCUCAGGGAAAAAGGAUGAUGGUACCUGAGGAAUAAGCCCCGGCUAACUACGUGCCAGCAGCCGCGGUAAUACAUAAGGGGCGAGCGUUACCCGGAAUUACUGGGCGUAAAGGGUGCGUAGGCGGCCUUGCAAGUCAGGUGUAAAAAGCCCUGGCUCAACUAGGGAGAUGCGCUGGAAACUGUAAGGCUUGUGUGCAGCAGAGGCAGAUGGAAAUGCUGGGUGUAGGGGUGGUGCGUAGGCGGCCUUGCAAGUCCGGUGUUAAAAGCCCUGGCUCAACUAGGGAGAGAGGCACGAAAGCUAGGGGAGCGAACCGGAUUAGAUACCCGGGUAGUCCUAGCCGUAAACGAUGCUCACUUGGUGUGGGGGCAUAGAGCCUCUGUGCUGAAGCGAACGCGUUAAGUGAGCCGCCUGGGGAGUAUGCCCGCAAGGGUGAAACUCAAAGGAAUUGACGGGGGCCCGCACAAGCAGUGGAGCGUGUGGUUUAAUUGGAAGCUAAGCCAAGAACCUUACCAGGGUUUGACAUGCUGGUGGUACGGACUCAAAAGAGGAAGGACCUUAUCGAAAGAUGAGGAGCCAGCACAGGUGGUGCACGGUCGUCGUCAGCUCGUGCCGUGAGGUGUUGGGUUAAGUCCCGCAACGAGCGCAACCCCUACUCUUAGUUACCAGCACGAAAGGUGGGGACUCUAAGAGGACCGCCGGCGACGAGCCGGAGGAAGGAGGGGAUGACGUCAGAUACUCGUGCCCCUUAUGCUCUGGGCGACACACGCGCUACAAUGGUAUGGACAACGGGAAGCCAGGUAGCGAUACUGAGCAAAACCCUAAAACCAUACCGCAGUUCAGAUUGUGGGCUGAAACCCGCCCACAUGAAGCUGGAAUGCUAGUAAUCGCGGAUCAGCCACGCCGCG
RNAcentral lists this ribosomal RNA (1297 nucleotides) under uncultured bacterium. Its description in RNAcentral is "bacterial SSU rRNA". It matches the Rfam family "Bacterial small subunit ribosomal RNA", at positions 37 to 1361 of the family's 1533-position model. The record is from RNAcentral.